CCUACGGGUGGCAGCAGUGGGGAAUAGUGCACAAUGGGCGAAAGCCUGAUGCAGCAACGCCGCGUGAAGGAAGAAGGGUUUCGGCUCGUAAACUUCUAGCAACAGGGACGAAAGAAAUGACGGUACCUGAAGAAGAAGCCACGGCUAACGCCGGGCCAGCAGCCGCGGUAAUACGUCGGGGGCAAGCGUGAUCCGGAAUUACUGGGUGUAAAGGGUGCGUAGGCGGCAUGGUAAGCCAGCUGUGAAAGCCUUGGGCUUAACCCGAGGAUUGCAUUUGGAACGCUAAAGCUAGAGUACAGGCGCGGCACGCUGACUUCCUCGUGUAGCUGUGAAAUGCGUAUAUCUUAGGACGACCACCCGUGGC
This 364-nucleotide ribosomal RNA is filed under the name uncultured bacterium. Its description in RNAcentral is "partial 16S ribosomal RNA". It matches the Rfam family "Bacterial small subunit ribosomal RNA", at positions 338 to 716 of the family's 1533-position model. The record is from RNAcentral.